CAAAGGGAUCGCGGGCGAUCUCCCGCGGUCCGCCCGAGGGUGGGGGUACGGCCCAUCAGGUUGUUGGCGGGGUAACGGCCCGCCAAGCCGAAGACGGGUAGGGGCGGUGAGAGCCGUGAGCCCCGAGAUGGGCACUGAGACAAGGGCCCAGGCCCUACGGGGUGCAGCAGGCGCGAAUACUCCGCAAUGCGGGCAACCGCGACGGGGCCACCCCGAGUGCCGGGCGAAGAGCCCGGCUUUUGCCCGGUGUAAGGAGCCGGGCGAAUAAGCGGGGGGUAAGUCUGGUGUCAGCCGCCGCGGUAAUACCAGCCCCGCGAGUGGUCAGGGUGAUUACUGGGCUUAAAGCGCCCGUAGCCGGCCCGGCAAGUCGCUCCUGAAAUCCCCAGGCUCAACCUGGGGGCAGGGGGCGAUACUGCCGGGCUAGGGGGCGGGAGAGGCCGCCGGUACUCCGGGGGUAGGGGCGAAAUCCUAUAAUCCCCGGAGGACCACCAGUGGCGAAAGCGGGCGGCCAGAACGCGCCCGACGGUGAGGGGCGAAAGCCGGGGGAGCAAAGGGGAUUAGAUACCCCUGUAGUCCCGGCCGUAAACGAUGCGGGCUAGCUGUCGGCCGGGCUUAGGGCCCGGCCGGUGGCGUAGGGAAACCGUUAAGCCCGCCGCCUGGGGAGUACGGCCGCAAGGCUGAAACUUAAAGGAAUUGGCGGGGGGGCACCACAAGGGGUGAAGCUUGCGGCUUAAUUGGAGUCAACGCCGGA
This 751-nucleotide ribosomal RNA is filed under the name uncultured Thermoproteales archaeon. RNAcentral's name for it is "bacterial SSU rRNA". It matches the Rfam family "Archaeal small subunit ribosomal RNA", at positions 187 to 922 of the family's 1478-position model. Lineage: Archaea; Thermoproteati; Thermoproteota; Thermoprotei; Thermoproteales. The record is from RNAcentral.